This 356-nucleotide long non-coding RNA is filed under the name Anser cygnoides (Swan goose). RNAcentral's name for it is "lncRNA (ENSACDG00005010838.1)". The record is from RNAcentral. Lineage: Eukaryota; Metazoa; Chordata; Aves; Anseriformes; Anatidae.
AGCAAGUAUGGGUUUGUCAGCUGAGGAGAAUCACCAGUUAAGCUAAGUACAGGACACUUUCAAGGAGCACUCAAUCUAUGCAAAAGAAAAUGGGAGAGGAUCAAAAUAUUCAAAUCAAUGGUCUGAACCUGCAUGUUUUCCAGAGUUCAUUUUGAUAGCUGAUGAAACUGUAAUAUUCAAUGCAGUUUUCUAAUGAUGGAUGUAGGAGAAAUAAGGAGACAAAAGCAUUCUUUUAAGCUGCUCGUACACAAUGUGAAGCGGAAGAACUCUAUAUGCCCGGUAAGUUAGUGGUCUCUUUUGGAAAACUUUAAUCAAUGAUUUCUACUCCCCAUUAGAAUUUGCUCUCUGCAUUUUUU